This 58-nucleotide non-coding RNA is filed under the name Helianthus annuus (common sunflower). The record is from RNAcentral. Lineage: Eukaryota; Viridiplantae; Streptophyta; Magnoliopsida; Asterales; Asteraceae. RNAcentral also lists the same sequence under 2 other names.
CAUUGGUCGGGAGUUGAGGCCACUUCCCUGAUGAGUCCAUGGCAGGACGAAACCUAUG